UGGGAAGAUGCGAAGAAUGCGUGAUCAUCAAUUUUCGGGCAGUGGCAGUUGCUUGGGUUCUGCAAAUGCUUUUGCUUGAGAUCCUGACCGAGUUCUUGCGCAACUUGAGUUUUGAGGGACAACUGGGUGUCAUUUUGUAGUGGGUGCCAAGAAUCCUGGUACUAGAGAAGUGGUAGGACCUCACCUUCAUGUUUUAUGCACCGAUGUUUACUGAAGUGGUAGGACCUCACCUUCAUGUAUGAUGCAUUGAUGUUUACUAAAUAGGCUGGAUUUGUUAAACAUAGAAUUAAUAAGAUCAUAUUCUUACUCAAAAAGUUAACUUGUGUUAUGCCUUCUGAUUUACAAACUCACAAAACCAAAUCCAUUCCAUUUGAACUCCCCAACGAAUUGUAACCAUUACAUUCCAUCUAAUUAACCCAAGCAAAAUGGGAGCAGAACCAAUCCAUAAUUAAAAGUGCAUCGGCUGCAUUUUAGCCCAAACCUAAGAAUGGUUUAAAUGUAUUUUCAGGAUAACCUAUACAUGCGAGCUAACAAUUGUAUCAUCAAUUUUCGGGCGGUCACAGAUGCUUGGGUUUUGCAAAUGCUUUUUGCUCGAGACCCUGACGAGUUUUUCUUGCGCAACUUGAGUUUUGAGGGACAUAAAGGUAUCAUUUUGUAGUCGGUGCCAAUUUUCCUGGUACUAGAGAAGUGGUAGGACCUCACCUUCACGUAUGAUGCAUUGAUGUUUACUAAAUGGGCUGGAUUUUUUAAACAUAGAAUAGAUUUUUUUAAACCAUUCUUAUCGGAAAAGGUUAACUUGUGUUAUGCCUUUUGAUUUACAAACUCACAAAACCAAAUUCCCCAACCAAACACGGAAUUGCAACCAUCACAUCCCACCUAAUUAUCCCAAGCAAACAUAGGAACAAAACCAAUCCUGACAUUCCAUUCCACUUCGAUCCCAAACCAAACACGCCCUAAGAUAGUUCAAGUGCAUUGGCUGCAUUUUGGCACGAACCUAAGAGCACUUUAAAUGCAUUUUCAGGGACAAACCCAACAGCGCUUUAAAUGCAUUUUCAGGACCAACACGGCUGCCCCACACAUGUGAGCUAACAACUGUAACAAAGCAGAGAAAUCCCAUCUUCAAUAUCACAUAGAUCUUGGUACUUUGAAUAUACAAGUUUCUAUCAAAAUCCAAGUAAUUGUUCACACCAGUUAAUUACAAGAUUCUGAUGGUCUGAGGUCCAGAGUGCCUAUAUAUAUAUAUAUAUAUAUAUAUAUAUAUAUAUAUAUAUAUAUAUAUAUUUAUAUAUAGUUACAGGUUGCAUCUGACAUUGUGUAACUAAAUGAAUCAUGUAUGAACUACUCAAUUUCCUUAAACCUCCAUAUACACCCGUCCGGAUACUGUCUAUCUUAUAUUUUUUGCGGCAGAAACCGUUUUAACUUAGCUUGGUUAGUAGGCAUCUGUGGAUCAUUUGCACCCGGUACUUUGAGGAAACCUCAAUUAUUUGACCAACCAGGCCGUGGUCACUCGUAAAGAAUACACCGAUGACAGACGCCUCCCUCACCUGCUGCACCACUUGGAAAAAAUACGGCGUGGACUAAACCACCUUCUGUGAUUUCAGGCUACGGGAGAGCAUCAUUUUGUCGCUGCGCUAAUCUUGAAUACAAUCCAUCCUGCUUGACAAGGUCGCUGUGCUUUCCGUCCUGCACAACCAUACAGAACAACUUAGACCAUGUUUGUACACAACACUGCAAGUCUUGAAAGAAGUGUUCUCAUGCUAAUUUUAGUGUAGACUUCAUGUUAACACUUUGCAACAGCAGUUGAGAACAUACCUCCACAAUACUGCCAUUUUCCAUCACAAUGAUUCUGUCAGCCGCUUGAAUCGUAGACAGCCUAGAACAAAUAAUGGCGUUAGCUCGACUCUCCGUGUUCAAAAUAACAGGCACCGGAGUAAGCACACAUUACCUGUGAGCUAUGAUAAUCACAGUUCUUCGAGCCUUAGGAUCAGUGCUAACUUCUGUGAUGACACUCUAUAACAUGGCAGAGAGAAAGAUUAACAAUCUACUCAUAAGUACAUUUUAAUUGCACAGAAUUUGUUCAUGAAGAGUUUACCUUCACAUAAUGUUCACUCUCGGCAUCAAGUGCACUAGUGGCUUCGUCGAGUACUAAGAUGGCCGGGUCCCUCAGAAGGGCCCUUGCAAUAGCGACGCGUUGCUUUUGGCCUCCACUAAGAAGAGCAUCGUCGACAAUGGUGUUAUAACCAUCAGGAAGAGCCAUUAAGAAAUCGUGAGCAUAAGCCUGUUUUGCAGCCCACUCAACUUCUUCCUGGCUAACUUCUCUUGGGCAGCCAUACUUAAUAUUAGAACUAACAUCCAUCCGGAAUAGCUUAGGCUCCUGCAUAUAACAAGUAUAUAUGCUGUUAAAUACAACAAAGAUUCAUCUGGCACGACAACUUUGCUGGGUUUAUUGGAUCCGAACCUGUCCCACAAAACCAAUUCUUUCCCUGAACCAUCUGGUGUCAAGUUCGCUGAGUGGGACACCAUCUAUUAAUAUCUGCAUUAGUCACAAAUAUAACUUCAGAGUUCAGACCAAUAACUAGUCUGUUUCAAGUUCAACGUGUCAUAGCAGCAAUACUGGCUCCUGGAAGGGACAGAAACAAUAGCAAGGUCGAAAUAGCUUACUUGCCCAUUUGUAGGUUCAUAUAGUUGAAGUAGUAGGUUAACUAUAGUACUCUUGCCACUUCCACUAAGACCAACCUUUAAAAUUAGAAACCAUAUAUGAACAUUCAGAUACAGAUCAAUACUUGCGAAAAUUCAUAUAUAUGAAAGCAUCAGCCUGUAUAUCUUACAAUUGCAACUACUUCAUUUGGAUUGAGUGUUAGAUUCAGUCUUCUCAAAAUUGGUGCCUGCACAUUAAGGGCCACAUCAGAACCCAAAACCCGUACUUAGUUCAUAAUAAUCACAAAGCACUCAAGCUUUAGGAUGGACCCUACUAUGUGUGUGCUCAUAAAUCAUAACAGAAAAGCAUUUAGAAGGAAGGCGUUAACAUACUGAAGGUCUUGAAGGAUAUGAAAAUUCUACAUCUGCAUAUUGAAUUCGUCCUUCCAGCUUCUGUAACCUGAGGCCUGCAAGAAUGAAAUGCUUUAGACUACCGAACAGUUGCACAUCCUCCCAAUUAAAAUAUCCAAGCACAGAGACUCGAAACUAAUGUGUCAAGUCAAAAACAGUCUUGCCUUUAGAGGUAAGCUGCCUGCUAGGCAAGAGAUCCAUCAACCGGAAGACUUUUUCACUUGCUCCAACAGACUGCAUCAGGGAGGACCAAUUGUCUCCAAUCCACCAGGUAGACAAAAUCAGCCACUCGGCGUACAGUGUGAAUUUUGUCAGUUGCUCGGCAGUGAACUUCCCAUUCAUGAUUGCUAUUCCUCCAAUCAAAACAGCAACAACCUACACAAAGCUUAUUUGGAAGAAUACUUCAUCAGUAGCGCAAUGAGAAGCAUACACAAAAGCCUUAUAUUUUUAAUAUAGAUAUUAACAAAACUGAACAGCAACAUCAAAUACCUGAGUAGAAUGGUACAGAUAAUUCAAGCUCAAGCUCCAGCCUCCAUAAGCCAUCGUCUGUCGAAAGCUCACAUCAUACAGCUUAUCCAGCCACUUCGCAUACCUAUGAAAGUACAACAGGCUUUAUGACGUGCAUAGUGUUAUCUUUAUGCUAUAUAAGAGAGAAAAAUAGGUAGAGUGAUUGCCUUUUGAACUCUUGCUUUUCCGUCCCAUACACUCGCACUGUUCUAACCAAACUUAUCGCUUCUUGAGCAACCUGAUUUAUAACAUAAACAUUGGGUGAAUCGCUGAAAUGUUGAGCAACCUUCUCAAAUAGACUUCAAUUAAAGGACAUAAACUUACAUUAUUGGCACUUGCAGUGAACUCUUGUGCAAAUUUAGAGGCCUUUUUCUGAUACCUAUAAAACAAAGGUGUCAUGAUGAUUUCUUUCACAUGGCCAAAGAUGCAAAGCAACAAAAUGUGGAAACAUGGGAGAGGUAUUUUGUCGCAUUUACUCAAGAUUGCUGCGCACUAGCAACAUAAUAGGGAAAGGAGCAAGUAGAGAAAAGGGAGAAAUAAACUACACAAGAAGUGAAAACAAGUUGUUACCGUCCAUGAACUAGCAUAAUUGUCGACAAUGUCCCACAAGUAAGCAUAGUGCACAGUCCAAGAGGCCAUGAUAAGAUUAGAAGAUAAAUCAGUGCUCCUAUACCCUGAGACAAAGUAACAACAUGAAAAAUGAGCUUUUCAAGCUACUGGUGAGUAUUGUAUGCUCAGAUACUAAACAACCUUUUCACCUGAAGCAAAUUGCGUGAAAUCAAAUUAAGAUCAUUGCCAAUAACUCUAGACACUUGCUGGCAGUCAGAACCAAGCCUACUUGUCAAAUCUCCGACAGUUUCUUCAUCGAAAAACGCAAUAUCCUGGCACAAUAUACAAUGGAGUUAAGAAAAUUUGCAGCAAUUCAAAGUAAAGGUAUUAUUUGCACUAGUACUUCAGGCAACAAUAUUUUCCCCUUCUGUUUUUACCUGAGAAAGGAUGGAAUCAAACAGCAUUUCUCUCAUUCGUUUAACCUAAGAAAAAUAGUUGAGAUAAUGAUUGUAAGAGCCUGAUCAAAACCAAAGGGCAACCUGGAAGGAAUAGACUUGUUAAAUUACAUAAAAUCUAACAUGGUUUUACCAAUAUCAUGUUGGCAAUACCAAAACAGCAGCUUCGCACACCACUGCAAAAGGGGGACACGAGCUAAAUAAGCAACCCAAAUAUAACUCGCAAAAGCAUGCUUAAGGCAAACAAUUUUAGUUCUGUGCAGAUUGUCUCACAAAACUCCUUGUUUUGAUGUUUGCAAACUUGUUUGUGCACGUGCAAUUGUCCAUGAUGUACAUUGCAGAAAUUAAGUUUUUUGUUUCACAGCGAUCGUACUGAUUCUGUCACAGCAUUCACAAUGUACAAUGUUGAAAUUUAAGUUUGCGUUUUACAGUGAUCCUACUUAUACUAUCCUUCACCCAACUGGAAACAUCUCAGUCCAAAACAUUUCCCUAAUCCUAGAUUGUCCAUUACCAGCACAUUUAAUUUAUUUAUUUUUGAAUCCUCAUGUAAUGUAAAGUGCCGGUAAACGCCUAAGUGGUCUGCUUCACUCGAAAUGCGAUGAAAACAGAUAGUUGCGCAGCCAUAGUUUGUAGUGUGACCCUAUACACGAUAUGAGCACAGUUUGAAGGAAGAGAUAGCUGACCUAAACACUCCGGAAAUCAUACACAGAACAACCAGAAGCUUGGCGUUCCGGUAGAAGACGGCCCCUCCAUUCUGCGCGGAGAAGAUGGAGGCCGCGAGCAGAUGGGGGAUAGCGAUCUCCGCGAGCUGCAACCACGACCACACAGCAGUCAGUACCACACCAACCAACGAAAGCUUAUCCGAACCACGCGGCCGAGGCAAUCCGCAUUACCGCGGCGCAGACGAGCGACGCGAAGCCGGCGAAGAUGACCCAUCGGUCGUUGGAUACGAGGGCCCACAUCCGGCUGAGCGCGGAGGCGGCCGUGGCCCCGCUGGCCUCGGCGCGGCCGGCCCCGCCCGCGUCCUCGUCCUCGAGGCGCCACCAGCUGCCCCCCGGCAGCACGUUCCGCAGCCGCCCGAUGAACUCGCCGGCGUCGAGGCGGCGCCUGCCGAGCCCGCCGAACUCGCCGUUGACGGUCGCCGCCGCGCGGAUCCUCGCGGCACGCAGCCGGAGCCGCAGCCUGGGCGGCGGGGCCCGCAGGCACGGCCGCCAGGGCGCCAGGCCCAGCGACAGCCCCGCGGGCGCCGCGAGGAGCAGCGCGGCCGGGGCCGGCGGCAUUUCUCCCUCCUCCCUCCCCCUUCGCGCGCGCGCACGCGAUCCGAUUCGGAGCGCGAUUCAGGCGGGGCAGGGGGCUAUUUUGCGCUGCGUUUCCUCUCCUUGCUUUGUCGUGGCCCUUCGUAAACCUUUUUUUUGUUCGCCUCGUGUGCGUGCGUUCGCGGCGAGAUGAUCCAUGCGUGGGCCGGCGGUGGUGUGGCCGUGGAAUUUCCGACCCGUUUUCCAGGCUCCCUGGAUCGGAAUUUUCUGGUCGAGAAUAAUCGAGUUUGGAUUGGGCUCUCGCGCGUCACGCGGCCAUGCGAACGGGAGAGAGAGAGCGGCGAAGCAAAGCAAAGCAGCUGUUGACUUGUUUCUCCUCCGGCUGCUGGUGUGGCGGCCGUGAACCACGUGGAGUUUCGGCUGCUCUCUUCCCGACCCGCCCCGCACAGGUUCUGAGAAGCUCGUGCGCUUUUGCAGAAUCGCACGUAGUACUACGUGCCUGCACGGCUGCACCUGCACUAUAGAACGAUCGACCUAAAGGGGCGACCUGCACUAUAGAACCGGAAUUGGAACUAUCCCACCCGUGACCCGUGCGAAACGUAUGGGCCUCUUCAUUCUUGGAUGGAUGAGCGCAGUGAGGUGCGAGAGGUACGUACGUCUGGUCUGGGUUAGGUUUGGCGAUAAGCACGAGCGACUGGACACGCCGCAGUUUUUUCGACAGAGCAUAGCAAUCUGCAUUUUACACUACCAAUUUAGCUCCUUGCAGAGUUUCUGUUACUAGGCCAAAUCAAGACUACAUCCCAGCCCGCUGCUGGGUUCUGUUACUGCAAAGCGUAGCUCUGGCUUGCCUUUUGCGCGCCGCUAGUGGUCUUUUUCUUCUGCUCCGUGUUCUUUUUAUGGCGUUCACUGCUUGCAUGGUUUUCUUUGUUUUUCUUUUCAUUUUGGGGUUCUUCUUUGUCCUCUUUCUCUCUUACUUUGGUUUUCACUGGUUUUCUUCAGUUUCUUUUUCUACUUUUAUUUUGAACCAUUCUCUAGUUUUUUUCAUAUGGAUUGUAUAUUCUUCGUGUGCACCAGGAACAUUUCUUAUGCACGUUUAACAGUUAUUAAAUACAUGAUAUUUUUUUCAAAUAUAUGUUUUGAUGUCUAGCGCUUUUCAUACACAUUGUGCAUUUUGGUAUACAUCAUAAACAUUCUAGACUUGUUUUUUUUUAACAUUUUAUCAAAUAUAUGUAACAUUUUUCAAAUACACAUUGAAAUAAAAAAGGUACAAAACUUAUCUUUUCAUAAUACAAAACAUUUUUUGAAAACUAUGUCAACAUUCUUUUACAAUGUAUCAAUAUUUUUAUAAAUGCCAUAAACAUAUUCUUGAAAUGGAUGAACAUUUAAAAAUGUAUUUUUUAAAACUCAUAUAACAAUUUUUUUAAAUGUACAAUGUAUAUUUUUUGCAAAUGUCCCAUAUUUUUUUUGGAACUCAUGAACAUUUUUUUAAUGUCAUGAACUUUCUAUUUUGAAUAGUAUCAAUAUUUUUAAAUUUCUUUAACAAAAAGAUUACAUUGCGUCAAGAUUUUUAAAAGCCACAUGAUUCAUUUUAAAAAAUGUAAUUAAAUUAAUUUUUAAUAUAUUUUUUAUAAUAUUUCAAAAAUAUAAGCAGAAAGAAAGAAGAAAAUGUGCUCCUGCGUGAUUUGGGACGGCCCAUUAGGACGACCUUGAGGUGAGCGCGAGUGCGAGGCACACGAGACACAUGCGCUCCUGAAGAUAUAGAUGCUUCCUUAAAAAGAAGAGUUGUACUUCUAAUUUUUGUUAAUAAAUACUAGAAAAAAGCCCAUAUGUUGCAACGGCAAGAAAAUAAUUCCACACUUUCUAAGCCAAUAAAUAUGACUCAAGACGCCAAUAGUUCCGUCCUAAAAAACAUGACCUUUAUUUGAACACAUGGCAUCUCAUCCGUGUUGCCACUUAUCCUUCUUUCCACCCUCGUCGACAGUGCUCAGUGCUCAUACAAUCACAAUGUGUUUAAAUGUUGUCAAUCUAAAGAUGUCUCUCUCUCUCUCUCUCUCCCUCUCUCUCUCCCUAAUAUGAGAAAUCUGCUUUUUUCUGUGAGAUUUUGGCGAGGUUUGCAUGUAUGGUUAUAGAUGGUUUCUUUGGUCUCCAAUACUAGUUUUACCGAGGUGUUCAUUUACAAUCUGGAUAGGCGCGGUAUGAAAGGAAGGCAGAUCAUGCGCUAGUGAUUAAGGUUACACCCCAAAUAACAUUUUUUAAAUGGUUAACAAGUAAACUAAUAUCAUAUUGAGCGCUCCCCUGCUUCUGCGCCUAGCGCCGCCCGCCACUCCGGCGCCGGCGGCCACCUCCUGCGCCGCUCUCCACUCCAGAGGUGGCGGCCACCCUCCUUGGCGCCAUGGCCUCUAGGGUCUCCAUCUCUGGCUCGAGUUCGUCGGAGUCCAAUGCCCCCUCGCCCUCUCCGUCCCAUGGGGUGCCAUCUGUAAGUGCAUCUAGUGCCACCCCUAGUUGAUUUUGGAGUAUUGACGACAAACCUAGUUGAGGGACUAAUGUGUUUGUGAGAAUUGCAGGAUAAUACAGGUAGAAGUCCCUCAUUGAUUCGGUUUUACCACCAGAUAUGACCCCUAAAAAUGUAUGAAGACAUUGAAGACAAAGGUGGUACAUGAAGAUAUUCACUUUGAAGACUAUGACAAAACAAGACACGUUAUGAAGCAUAUGGAGCUCGAAGACUUAGAUCUUUCGUAGUUCCUUUUCUUUUGUGUUGAGUCAUAGGAACCACCGUACUGUUAAGUGGGGUCCAGGAUACCCAGUUAGAAUGACUGAAGUGAUGCCCAAACUAAAAACCUAUGUCUUCGAGUGAAGACAAUGAGAGCGAAUCUUGUCCAGAGCCGGACAAGUCAGCUUUGCUUGUAGCCCAAGUAAAGUUGCCAUGAGAGUUUAAAAUCUGACUGUUGAUACACGUGUCAGUUCCUUAGUGACCCAGGGUCAUUUCGGACAAAUCAGGUCGGGUUGCCAAGUGGCUAUAAAUAGCCCACCCCCACAACCAUAAACGGUUGGCUGCUCAGAUUUCAGUGCACGGCUUUUGUCGUUUGAGAGCAACCCACCUCGAAGCCUUUGAGAGAAAAUUCCUAGUGAGGAGAAAAGCCCUAACCACCCAGAGCCAGAGCAAAUUGGGCAUCACUUAGGUCUUCUUGUCUGUGUGAUCUGAAGACUUAUUAUACUUGAGGACUGUGAAUCCUCCAGACGGUUAGGCGUCGCGUUCAGAGCAUCCAAGAGACAUUGUGGAUUGCUAGUGAACGAAGUUUGUGAAGGUUUGGGAGUCUACCUUGAAGACUUACCAGAGUGAUUGGGCGAGGACUAAGUGACCUUAGCUCAAGGAGAAUACGGUGAGGACUUGGUGUCCUGAACUGUGUGUUCAGGACUGUGUGUCCGGGACUGUGUGUCCUAAGGUUUAAAUACCUAGCCGCUCCAACCAGACGUACAGUUGUCACAGCAACUGGAACUGGUCCAACACAUCAUUGUCUUCAACGAGUCACUGGUUUCAUCUUCACUUCCUUUUCUUACUGUUACUCAUUGUGAAGCCAUUGCAUACCUGCUCUAUCUUUUGUCUUCACAACGUGAAUGUAUGAUCUGGUUGGCUUCAUAACUUCUUCCUAUCUGAUCCUUAUUACACUGCAGUUGUUUGUCAUUGUGCUUUCACUCUAUUGAAUACAUGACCAUGGCUGGCCUAGUGUAAUCUAACUUCCGUUGCAUAGCAAUAGGCAUAAUCUUCGCAGUUUGUCUUCAUAACUCUCACGUUUUGAAUACUUUCAUAAAAAUCGCCUAUUCACUCCCCUCUAGUCGAUAUAACGCACUUUCAAUUGGUAUCAGAGCAAGGUGCUCCCUUGUUCUGUGUGAUUCGGUUUAACCACCUGGAGUUUUAGCUAUGUCGACUGCAGGGAUAAUCAAAGUCUCCGUUGCGUGCCCCGUCUUCGAUGGAACUGAAUAUCCCUACUGGAAGAAUAAGAUGCGCAUGCAUCUUGAAGCCAUUGACGUCGACCUAUGGUAUGUCGUUGAGAACGGCGUUCCCAAGGCUGGAGAAGGUGUCACUGCUGCUGAUGUCAAGAAGUUCACUCAACUGGACUCUACUGCCAAAAAUAUCAUAUGUGGCCAUCUGACAAAAGGACAGUAUGGCCGUGUGAGUGCUUUGAAGACAUCCAAGCUGGUCUGGGGCUGGCUCUCCAAGGUCAAUGAAGGCGUCUCAACCCAGAGAGAUCAAAGAAUCAGUGUUCUUCGCAACCUCUUCAACUGCUUCAAGCGAAAUGACAAUGAGAAUGUUCAGCACACAUUUGAUCGGCUCACUGACAUCACAAAUGAGCUUCAAUCCCUCGGCGCCACUGAGAUCACCAAACAUGAAAUCGUCAAGACGAUGCUGAGAUCACUUGAUAGUUCGUUUGACAUCCUAGCCCUGAUGAUUCAAGAACGUCCUGAUUUCAAGACACUCGAUCCGUCUGACAUACUUGAGAGGCUCAACACACAUGAGUUUCAGCUUUCUGAGAAAAGAGAUAUCUACGGUCCAAACUAUGGGCGAACUCGUGCCUUGAAGGCAAAAGCUGUUUCCUCAUCUGAAGAAGAAUCUGACAGCUGUUCUAAUGAUCCUGAAGACAUUGGAAGAGAACUUGCAAUGCUAGUGAAGAAGUUCCAAAAAUUCACCAAGAAGAAAGGCUUCAGAAAAUCUUCACGAUCAAGCUCAAGGAAUGAUGAAGCUUCUGCUCAUGACUACAAGAAGAAAACAUGUCACAAGUGCAAGAAAACUGGACACUUCAUCUCUGAGUGUCCACAAUGGGACAAUGAGAACAGAAGGAAGAAGAAGAUCAAGGAAUAUGAUUCUGACGACAAGAAGAAGAAGAAAUACUCAAAGUCUUCUUCCAAGUCUUCCUCAAAAUCUUCAUCACACAAGAAGAGCUCAUCUGGCAAGGCACGUGCAUUUGUUGGCAAGGAAAUGGAUUCAGAGGAGGAGUCCGCUUCUGAGGAGGCAGAGGUGGAGUCUGAGGAGGAGUCUGAUUCUGGCAUUGCGAGUCUGGCUACAACAUACGUCGCCAAGUCCAUCUUCAACACUGAAGACAAUGACUGCAUCACCGACAUCGACGCAAAUGACAAGAACGACUCCACUCCUACCUACUGCUUCAUGGCACGCGGUGCCAAGGUAAACACAUGCACUACUCGCUAUCAAACAUCUAGUGACGAUAACUCUGACUGUGAUUCAAAAUCCAGCUACAAAACACUUGCUAAAAUUGCAACUGAACAACAGAAAGCUAUGGAACAUAUUCAAAAACUGUUAGACAGAAGCGAUGAUCUGUUGGGUGCUGAAAUGACUCGAUCUGAAUCCUUAAUUGAAGACAUAAAAAAUCUUCACGUUAAGUAUCAGGAACUUGAAGAUCAUCUUGAUACUCUCUCAACAACUCAUGAAAAGCUUUCCUAUGAUUAUCUUUAAAGGAGGCAAGAACUUGAGAAAUUGAGAGCGGCUCAUGAAGAUCUUCAAAAGGAAAACGAGUCACUUCGCGCCGAACAGAUCAGUUCCGCUCAGGAAGGAUUUGAACCACCAUGUCUUAAAUGCAUUGAGCGUGAUAAUGCUACUUUUGUUGCUGAAUGUUCCACUGCUACUGCUGUUGCAAUAUCUUCAACUGUUGAUGUGGUAACUAACCCCUCUGCUAAGGAUACCACUGCUAUUGCUGAUGAGAAUGCUAGGUUGAAGACAUUGCUUGAAACAGGGAUGUACAAAAGUCUUAAAGGACAUCAGACAUUAUGUGAUGUCCUCAAGAAGCAGAUUCUGAACCGAAACCCCAGGAAAGAGGGUGUUGGGUUCGUGAGGAAAAUAAACGCAGAUGGCUCUUACUAAAAACCUGAGCAGUACCCCAAAAACACAUGGGUUGCUGCAAAGGAACUUUCAGCAGAUCCAUCCAAUUUAUCUGGCUUCACUUGUGCUAACCCCAUUAUCAUUGAUGAAUCUUUUGAUGCAAACUAUAAACUGUUUAAGAAUCAGAAUGAUGAAGUGUUUGCCAGGUACAUUGGUACUAACUGCAGGAAUGGACCGCCUAUGAAGAAGAUCUGGGUUCCGAAAAAGUGUCUGGAAAAUCUUCCUGUGAAUGUCUUCAUGACACCUCACUUGAAGAGAAGACAAACCUCAGACCAAAGGCUUCAUACGGUCCAAAGGCUUCAUACAAACAGAGGAGUCACCUGAGUCACACUAACGCAAAUGUUUUGCAGGGAAACCAUACUCAGGCAUACGAAUAUGAGAGCGGUUCUUCGAACCGUCAUGUUCAUAUGACCAAAAAUUAUUCUGCUUAUUCCUAUGAGUAUUAUUGUCCACCUGCUAGACUGUUUGCUAAGGCUUCAAAGCCAAAAUUCUCAGAUGCUGCACUUAGACUUAUAGCUUCUAAGCCACCCUUAAAGAUGUGGGUGGUUAAGAAAGCUUAACUCUCUUUUGCAGGGAAAGGUCUCCAGCACAAAAACAAAAUCUUCUGAUGCUAUUGCUGGGGACCUUAAAAAUCUUGUGGGGCGCAAGAUAAAAUGCCCAAAUGGCAUCGUUAUGUACUUCGUUCCUGAAUCGCAUGCUGCUCUCCCUAUUAGUCCUAAUCUGGAUCUAAGUUUUCGUAACCCACUGGUUCGUCAAAUGUUUUUGCUUCACAAUUCUCUUCGUGAAGCCUAUCCCCCUAACUGCAUUGUAGGGUACGACACCAGCGACUUCAAAGUCUUCAGAAUGGAUUAUUGACAGUGGGUGUACAAAUCACAUGACUGGCAAAAGAAGCCUUCUUAUGGACUCAAUCUUACGUCCAUCCGACAAGAGUCACAUCACAUUUGCUGACACUGGUAAAAGUAAGGUAUUGGGUCUAGGCAGAGUUGCAAUCUCAAAGGAUCAACACAUGGAUAAAGUCAUGCUUGUUGAAUCCCUUGGCUUCAACUUAAUGUCUGUCUCAAUGCUUUGUGAUUUGAACAUGAUCGUAAUGUUUGGAAAAUAUCGUUGCCUGGUACUAAUGGAAUCUGACAAGUCUCUAGUGUUUGAAGGGUAUCGGAAAGAUGAUUUCUACAUGGUAGAUUUCUCAUCAGGGCCACAACUGGCAGUAUGUCUUCUUGCAAAAGCUUCAGAAUGCUGGCUUUGGCAUCGGAGACUUGGGCAUGCUGGCAUGAGGAACCUCCACACCCUUGCGAAGAAGAAGCAUGUCAUAGGCAUCGAGGGCGUCAAGUUCAAGAAAGAUCACUUAUGCGGUGCCUGUGAAGCAGGGAAAAUGACAAGGGCAAAACAUCCUUCGAAGACAAUCAUGACUACUACACAACCCUUCGAACUGCUCCACAUGGAUCUUUUCGGUCCCACUCACUACUCAACUUUUACUACUUCUGCUUGCCUCUAUGGUUUUGUCAUUGUUGAUGAUUAUUCUAGAUAUACGUGGGUGCACAUAAUCCUUUACAAGACUGAAGUGCAGGAUGUCUUCAGACGCUUCGCCAAUCGAGCUAUGAACAAUUUUGGCGCCAAGAUAAAGCACAUCAGAAGUGACAAUGGCACUGAAUUCAAGAACACUGGCCUUGAUACAUAUCUUGAUACCUUGGGCAUCACACAUGAAUUCUCAGCUCCGUACACGCCACAGCAGAAUGGCGUCGUCGAACGCAAGAACAGAACACUCGUUGAGAUGGCCAGAACAAUGCUAGAUGAAUACAAGACUCCAAGAAAAUUCUGGACUGAAGCCAUUGACACUGCAUGCCAUACAAUCAAUCGCGUUUAUCUUCACAAGCUUCUGAACAAGACAUCUUAUGAACUCCUAACUGGCAAGAAGCCAAAUGUUAGUUACUUCAGAGUAUUUGGAGCAAGGUGCUGGAUCAAGGACCCACACCACACCUCAAAGUUUGCACCAAAAGCACAUGAGGGCUUUAUGCUUGGAUAUGGAAAGGAUUCGCACUCCUACAGAGUCUUCAAUCUCUUUCAUUACAAAAUGGUUGAAACAGUGGAUGUGCAGUUCGAUGAGACAAAUGGUUCACAAAGAGAGCAACUGCCAAAUGUGCUAGAUGAAGUUCCAGCUAAUGAAUCAAUCAAGCUUAUGGGAACUGGAGAGAUUAUACCUUCUGAAGCUCAUCCUGAAGAAGAACUUAUCAUCUCAGCACCUGAUCAACAUGAAGACAAUGCUCAGCCUGAAGACAUUCCUCCCAACUACAACACAGAUCAGCAAGAGCAAAGUCUUCGCCCUGUACACCCUCGUGUUGCCAACGAAGUGCAAAUUGACAGCAUCAAUGCACCUGGUCCACUCACUCGUUCAAGGGCAACUCAACUGGCGAAUUCCUAUGGGCACUUCGCAUUCGUAUCAAUAUCAGAACCCAAGAAAGUUGAAGAAGCCUUCAUGGAACCUGGAUGGAUUCAAGCUAUGCAAGAAGAGCUUCAACAGUUUGAACUGAAUAAUGUAUUGGAACUGGUUAAGCGUCCUGAUCCACGGAAGCACAACAUAAUAGGCACCAAAUGGAUAUACCGCAACAAGCAAGAUGAGCAUGGUCAAUUUGUCAGAAACAAAGCUCGUCUCGUUGCUCAAGGAUAUACUCAAGUGGAGGGCAUUGACUUCGAUGAAACAUUUGCUCCUGUGGCUAGGCUUGAAGCCAUACGCAUACUGCUGGCCUAUGCAAAUCAUCAUAACAUACUUCUAUAUCAAAUGGAUGUGAAAAGUGCCUUUCUCAAUGGCAAGAUUGAAGAAGAAGUGUAUGUUGCACAACCGCCUGGCUUUGAAAAUCCAAAACAUCCUGACAUGGUAUACAAGCUCAACAAGGCACUGUAUGGCCUCAAACAAGCCCCUAGGGCCUGGUAUGACACACUCAAAUACUUCCUGAAGAGCAAAGGCUUCAUACCUGGCUCCCUGGAUCCCACUCUUUUCACGAAGACAUAUGAUGGUGAACUGUUUGUGUGCCAAAUAUAUGUGGAUGACAUUAUCUUCGGCUGCACCAAUCAGAAGUAUAGUGAAGAGUUUGGAUAUAUGAUGCAAGAGCAACAUCAGAUGUCCAUGAUGGGGGAGCUGAAGUUCUUCCUUGGUCUUCAAAUACGACAACAACGCAAUGGCAUCUUCAUAUCUCAAGAGAAGUAUCUCAAAGAUUGCCUGAAGAAGUUCGGUAUGCAAGACUGCAAAGGCUUCACAACACCAAUGCCAGCCAAACAUCAUCUGGGUCCUAACGACAAUGGUAAAGAGUUCGAUCAAAAGGUAUACCGCUCCAUGAUUGGUUCUUUGCUUUAUUUAUGUGCAUCUAGGCCAGAUAUUAUGCUUAGUGUUUGCAUGUGUGCUCGAUUUCAAGCGGCACCAAAGGAGUCGCAUCACUUAGCUGUGAAGCGAAUUCUUCAAUAUUUGGCUCACACCCCAACUCUAGGGUUAUGGUAUCCAAAGGGCUCAGAGUUUGAUUUGGUUGGAUUUUCGGAUGCUAAUUAUGAUGGUGACAAGGUUGAUCACAAGUCUACAUUAGGCACAUGUCACUUUUUGGGACGAUCACUUGUAUGUUGAUCUUCAAAGAAGCAGAACUGUGUAUCUCUUUCCACUGCUGAAUCUGAAUACAUUGCUGCUGGAUCUUGCUGCGCUCAGCUUCUGUGGAUGAAGCAAACACUCAAGGACUAUGGCAUUCAUCUGAAGCAAGUGCCACUCUACUGCGACAAUGAAAGCGCCAUCAAGAUUGCCAACAACCCAGUUCAGCACUCGAAGACAAAGCACAUUGAAAUUCGUCAUCACUUUCUCAGAGAUCAUGUUGUGAAGGAAGACAUUGAUAUCAUACACGUUAACACUGAAGAGCAAUUGGCAGAUAUCUUCACAAAGCCCUUGGAUGAGAGGAGGUUUUGCAAGUUACGGUGUGAGCUAAAUAUCUUGGAGUCCUCAAACGUCAUGUGAUCAGGCACACAUCCUAACACUUAUGCAUUGAUGACUUAGAUGUGCAACACACAAAGUAAAGUGUAUCUUCAAUCAAUGAAGACAUACAUUCUAAGUGUGAAUACAUUAAUGUGGAAUUUAACUUCGGAGCGCCACGAUACUUGUGUGUCGUGUCUGGGUCUAAUACUUCCUAUACGGUGGGUAAUGCCACCACCAAACAUUCUAUUUCGAAGUGUUUCACUCAUGGCGUUACCUUGCAAUGUCUUCACAUUUGGUUUGGCUUCGAACUCAACAUGUCUUCAUAAUUAUCUUCACUACGUUGAUUAUAUAUAUAUAUAUAUAUAUAUAUAUAUAUAUAUAUAUACUGGUGCUCUGUCCUCUACAACAUUCACUUAUAGCUAUGUCUUCUUGUUUGAAUUUUUUGAACUAAGUGAAUGUGAUCGGACCCUAAUCUCUCUAUGCUUUCCAUCUCAAAUUCUAUCUCUCCAAGUCAUAUGCAUUCUAUUGAAACUGUCGAAUGUCUUCACUGUGUGCUUCAGCAGAAGAUAAAGAGACAACCAUAAAGUCCGUUUUCAAUGCUCAUUUAUCCACAUAAAAUCCGGAGAAGUAGGAACGACCGCCCGACAAUUCAGGCGUGUGUGGGACGUGGAACAAACCCAAAAAUUCUGCAAACUGGCCACGCGUUCCUCAGAUGCGAAUCGCCAGGGGCACCUGUGUAAUAGCACAGUGCCGCCCUUGAGCCUAUAAAUUCACACUUACCGCGGUCAUUAUCUCCUUCUUCCACCCUCGCACGAACCCUAGCGCCACCGCUAGCACUCGACGACGCCGGCGACGAAGCGCUUCGCUGCCGCAACUUCUCCGACGCCGUCUUCACGCCGAUCGGGGACAUCGUCUCUGCCGUUGCCGUAGGUGUCUUCCGUCGCCAAGUUAGGGCACGGAGGACUGAACUGCUCGGCAUCAUCUCCCACUCCAUCUAGCAGUUCCAAGUGUGGUAAAUAAAACCUCUUUUUACAGCCCCUUUUGAUCUCAUGGUUCUGUCACUUUCUACCAUAAGAAGUUUCUCUUCACACAAGUUAGAUCUCUCUAUCUGCAUCUCAUAACAUGCCUAGUAUAUUCACUUGUGCUUCAUAAAGAGUUAGAUUCCUCACUUGUACUGAUCUAUGGGUUCGUACAAAUCUGGAACCAACUUCUUAUCUAUGAGUGAAUGUCUUCGCACAAUGAGGUCAAUGUCUUCUAAACUGAUUAAUCUUCAAAACCUUCUGAGAAUGCAUAUGACCUCUUCCCCUUCCCUCGCACCUUAAUGCUGUCACAGGUACAUGUCCGUGGGAGAAUCCUUCGGUUCUCAUAGUCUGCAUUCAUUUGCAGAAUUCCUAAAGCAUCACAUAAACUCUCCUGAAGCCAGUUCCUGUUGGACCAGCAAAAGAAAGCCUUUGAAGCCUUUGAAAGUCUUGAAGCCUUUCAAGUUAAAGUUUAUGGCUUCAGAAGCAGCAGCAAGGAAGGGGCAGACAACGACGUGAAGGAACUUCCAAAGAUCUGCCUGAAGACCUAGCAGAAAUGUAUAAAACAGAUCCUGAAGAGAAUUAUGGGUAGCGCAAGACCCGAAUCCAAUGGAUUCGACGCUAUUGGGCUGAAUAGUGGUUCAAAUACCGCUUCCUCACCUAGGAGUAUGCUGAGAAAUGUGCCAUCAAGAAGCCAUGGGGGGACAUCCUUUACAAGAAUCUCAUACCCAAGACCAGAGGUGAAGCCAUUGCUCAAGGCUUCUACCCAUGCAUGGUCCGAGGACCACAACCUGAUGAUGCGCAUCCGUCGUCACUCCUUUGGUGUCGUGACGACAAUCUCUUCAAGCGCAACUUUCAGUUUGCUCAACAGUCAACGAAGCUGAACAAGAAGAAAUUUGGGUUAGACUUCAACCCUGGCCCCUCAGCACCAAGGGCAGAUGGCACACGUUACGCAGAACCCAAUAUCAUCGGUCCGUUUGCAAAUCUUGAGGGCCUGAUCACCCACAUCCUAGUCCAAGGGACUGCCGUGAAUGACCCUCUAGCUGACUCUGAGUUUGAUGAAGCUCCUGCUAUGCCGAAGCCAAAGCAGUCAAAGAAGCCAAAAGCUUCAAAGCCAGCCCCUGCCUCAAAAAUCUCUAGGGCGAAGCCAUUGAAAACUGCACCUCCUGAAGUCAGUGUGCAGUCUGAAGACGUAUCCCGCGUCUCCAAGCCCCAGAAAGAAAAGGAGCCCCAGUAACAAACCGACAAAGAGCUCACUGCUGCUGCCAUUCUGCGCAGCGAAGCCAUUGAUCUAUCAAGCGAUGAAGAUCUUGGAGAUGAUGCUCUAGAGCAGCUUAUCAAAAGCAAAGAAGAAGAUGAAAUCUUCAACAAUUUGCCUCUCUUUGAUGUCGCCAUCAUCCACAACUUUAUCUACGAAUGGUUUGCCUCCCCAGACAUAAGCUUCGAAGAUCUGCAGCUGCCUGUCGGCCUCAGCGUCGCCUUCCAAGGCGCAAUUGCUUCAGAACUUGCCAUUGCUCAGCGCAUAGUUGAGCUGAAGCAGAAAAUUGAUCAUGAAAAGGCUCAGUUCAAGAAGCACAUGGCCAGGCUCAGCGUGCAGGAAGUGAAGAGCUUCAAAACCAUGUUGCAUGAGCUCAAGGAAAUUUUCCUGAAGAAGCGUGCUGAAGCUCAGGGCUCACGUGAGCGGAUGAAGUCUCUGGCAGAACGAUGUGUGCAGGCCUACAAUGAAGCCAAGAAGCGCAAGGCACUUGGGCGUCCAGGCAUCGACCCCAAGAUGGCCGCGAAGAACAAGAAGCAGCCUACUGUGAAUGAACCAGAGGCACCAAGAUAAGAAGCUAUUCCGAUUGUCUUCCCAACCGCCACGACUGGCUCGAAGCCAAGGAGCCGGUCAACCGCUUCAGAGCUUAAGAAGACACGGAAUGCAGAGGCUGAAGCUAGGAAGAGGAAACACUCUGAAGCCUCUCCUUCUGACCCCACCAAGAAGAAGCGCAAGAUCAAGAAAGCUUGAGCUGCUCCCAUAGAGCCCUUGAUGGUUGAACCCCUCUCUGUCAUUCACCCCAACGCAGAACGUCAGCUGACGGUUCAUGAGCCUGCUCCCACAGAGGCUCCUGAAGCUGAAAACAUUCCAGCAGCCGACCCCAUCGCUGCUGAAGACAUUGGUCACCAGGACAAUGUACAAGAUGGUGCAGCCCUUCCUUAGCUUGAAACAAGCGAACUCAUCAGCAUUGGUCGUCCUCUGACGCCAAUGGCACAAGAUGAGUCAUGGGCAGAUCGCCCUCAGGAGGAAGAAGACUUUGAGGCCCAGCCCACUCCAACCCCACAAGCGUCGUCUGCGUUCCGUAGGCUUCGCAAAGGUCCAAGGCCUCAAGUCCAUACUGAAGAAAUUCCGGCUGCAUCAGCCGAAGACAAUGAAGAAGCACCACCAGAACCCACUCCCCCGCUACAUCAAGAUGCAGUUCUCUAGGAGAACGUGCCUGAGGUUGUCCCUCCAACUACACAAGCGGAGGAAGAAAAUGUUGAGGCUGCCACCACAAAUACUGAAGCCAAUGUGGAGCCCGCCCCACCAAAUGCUUCAGCAGACAGCGAAGCUACUGAGCCAGACUCUUCUGUUCCUGAGUUUGCUGCAGGUCCUCAAUUUGAUUACCAUGUUGAGCACAGGCCUCAUGUUCAGAAGCCAGUCCCAAGGCUGCCAAGGUUCCCAGGUCCUGCAUCAGCACCUGGCUCCUUUGAUAUUAAUAGCUUCAAGGCAGACAAUACAUUUUUCAACAGCUCCAAGAACCCUAUUCAAGGGAAAGGAUUGUAUCAGAUAGGUUCUGGAGCUAUCCUCAGCUCAGCUACUACUCAAGCAUCCUAUACAACCAAGGUUGCAUCUUCCCGCACAAGCGCCUUGAGGUUGAAGCCAUUGCUGGUUUGCCAUGUCUUGAGGAAGCCUUGGAUUGCUUCAAGCAAGUGGGUCUGCCGCCGUUUGUCACAGAUGAAGAGCACUGGAAUGAAGAGCUUCUGCUUUAGUUUUAUGCCACCCUCCACAUUAAAGGAUACAACAGAGAUCCGAAGACUUGGGUCCUGGAGUGGAUGACCGGCAAUGUCCAUCAUGAAGCCAAUGCAUUUGAUAUCAUUGAGCUCACCGGCCUGCCCACUCCUGGCGAAUUCUACGAGGAAGGCUGUCAACUACAUGAUGAAGCUAUUGAGAGCAUAUUCUAGAGGCCUGGACCAAAUAUGAGUCAGAUGCUCUCAAUGAUGAAGCCAUUGCCCCACGAUGCUCCUUAUCCAACAGAGUUCUUCGUUGAAGACUUUGAGUUCCUGCCCAGGACCAUAUAUCACAUCAUCCGGCGGACUCUCUGGCCUAUUAAAGGGCACUCUCCAAAUGCCAAGAUCGAAGGUGCAAUGAAGACUAUGAUAUUUUGUAUCCUUCAUGGCAAAUGGUUCAACGCACAUGAUUUCUUCAUACGCCAACUUGCAGCGUCAGGCUCAGAUUUAUUUGGUUUGAAGUUCUAUGCUCCUUGAGGCUGAUCAAACUACACUUUGCGAUCUCGUAUCAGCCCUCAGCUCGAAACCAUCGGAUCUUCUUGCCAGAUGUGGACACCUCCUCUGAAGCUAUAUAUCCUGAGCCUGCCAAGCAACCAUUGAGUCUUCAGAAUGCAGAACACCAGAGCUUCACUCAGAACGAUGAAGGUGUUGAAGCCAUCUCCAGGGUGUAUCCUUUGGCUGGCACUACACAUGCGCCACACCCUGCUUCAACUGAAGCCACUGAUAGUGCACCUGCUUCAAGACCCAAGAAGCACACUCGUGUUCUCACUGACCGAGAGCUUCUUGUGGCCCUUCAUCAAAAACAAGAUAGGCAUCACGACUGGCUAAAGCGUCAGAUGAAAAGCCUCUUGGUGGAUGUUAAUCGUCUUCGAAAUCUUGCCACCAAGAAUGCUUUUGUCACUCAUGAGACGUGCCGUCGUACAUGGAAAGGGCUCUCAAUGAUAUGCACUGAAGCUGAACUUGAAGAGGAUGGCCUCACAGAGCGCUUCAAGUUUGACACCACACCUCCUAGAAGGGCUGUGAUGCGCAACACACCAUCACUUGAAGACUCUGAGUUUUCUUCAUCUGCUGCCACAGUCACUGCCAGAAUCAUUGAUGAAGACGACGAUGCUACAUCACCGCCACCUGCUUCAGCACCUCCAAGCUCUGCACCGCCAAACAACUCCACCGACCCUGCUGCGCCCGGGAACGCGUAGAAAACUCUAUGUCUUCAAACCUUUUUGGUCAUUACUGACAAAAGGGGGAGAAGCAUAUGAUGUUUAUAGUCUUCAAGCGGGUCAAUAUGGGCGGAUGCCUUAUGUUUUGUUAUAUUUUGCUUCGUGUUUACAACUCUUGUUUUUGCUUCAUUUGGUUCUUUGAGUUGUAAACACUAAAACUCGAUGGCCGUCUGCUACUUGUUUGCCACUCUGUUUGCGAAGAUAAAUUCCGCAUGUGCGACGAUAAAUUCCGCACUUAUCUCAUUCUGCAGACGUCCAUUUUCCAUUAUGCAUGUCAUUAUCUUCAUAUACUUUCACAUGCAUAGUGGAUUGUCAUCAUAAGCUGAAGUGGAUCUCCACAAGUACAACCUGCCAUGUGCAUUUGCAUUCCAAAAGCAAAUUAACUUAUAUGCACAUCUUCAGGGGGAUCCCUUGCAACUUAUGAAGACAAUUCCUUUACAAUUUCACAGACUAUAUUCCCCGUUGAAAACUUCAACUAGUUUGUCAUCAAUCACCAAAAAGGGGGAGAUUGUAAGUGCAUCUAGUGCCACCCCUAGUUGGUUUUGGAGUAUUGACGACAAACCUAGUUGAGGGACUAAUGUGUUUGUGAGAAUUGCAGGAUAAUACAGGUAGAAGUCCCUCAUUGAUUCGGUUUUACCACCAGAGAUGACCCCUAAAAAUGUAUGAAGACAUUGAAGACAAAGGUGGUACAUGAAGAUAUUCACUUUGAAGACUAUGACAAAACAAGACACGUUAUGAAGCAUAUGGAGCUCGAAGACUUAGAUCUUUCGUAGUUCCUUUUCUUUUGUGUUGAGUCAUAGGAACCACCGUACUGUUAAGUGGGGUCCAGGAGAACCAGUUAGAAUGACUGAAGUGAUGCCCAAACUAAAAACCUAUGUCUUCGAGUGAAGACAAUGAGAGCGAAUCUUGUCUAGAGCCGGACAAGUCAGCUUUGCUUGUAGCCCAAGUAAAGUUGCCAUGAGAGUUUAAAAUCUGACCGUUGAUACACGUGUCAGUUCCUUAGUGACCCAGGGUCAUUUCGGACAAAUCAGGUCGGGUUGCCAAGUGGCUAUAAAUAGCCCACCCCCACAACCAUAAACGGUUGGCUGCUCAAAUUUCAGUGCACGGCUUUUGUCGUUUGAGAGCAACCCACCUCGAAGCCUUUGAGAGAAAAUUCCUAGUGAGGAGAAAAGCCCUAACCACCCAGAGCCAGAGCAAAUUGGGCAUCACUUAGGUCUUCUUGUCUGUGUGAUCUGAAGACUUAUUACACUUGAGGACUGUGAAUCCUCCAGACGGUUAGGCGUCGCGUUCAGAGCAUCCAAGAGACAUUGUGGAUUGCCAGUGAACGAAGUUUGUGAAGGUUUGGGAGUCUACCUUAAAGACUUACCAGAGUGAUUGGGCGAGGACUAAGUGACCUUAGCUCAAGGAGAAUACGGUGAGGACUUGGUGUCCUGAACUGUGUGUUCAGGACUGUGUGUCCGGGACUGUGUGUCCUAAGGUUUAAAUACCUAGCCGCUCCAACCAGACGUACAGUUGUCACAGCAACUGGAACUGGUCCAACACAUCAUUGUCUUCAACGAGUCACUGGUUUCAUCUUCACUUCCUUUUCUUACUGUUACUCAUUGUGAAGCCAUUGCAUACCUGCUCUAUUUUUUGUCUUCACAACGUGAAUGUAUGAUCUGGUUGGCUUCAUAACUUCUUCCUACCUGAUCCUUAUUACACUGCAGUUGUUUGUCAUUGUGCUUUCACUCUAUUGAAUACAUGACCAUGGCUGGCCUAGUGUAAUCUAACUUCCGCUGCAUAGCAAUAGGCAUAAUCUUCGCUGUUUGUCUUCAUAACUCUCACGUUUUGAAGACUUUCAUAAAAAUCACCUAUUCACCCCCUCUAGUCGAUAUAACGCACUUUCACCGUCCCCUCCCCCUCCCCCCCACUGCCGCGGCCGUUGCUGCGGUCCACCAUCGUCGUCCCAGAGAUCCUGGGCACUCCCUUUGGCCCCGUGGUUCAGGGCGGGGCGGCCUUCCUGCGCCCCGGCUCGCCGGCCUGCCAACGGGGGUUGGCAGGUCAAGGAGAGCAGGCGCCGGCGUGCCCCGCGGCCGCGCGCUCCGCGCCAGCAGCGUCGUCGCCAGGAUGGGAGGAUGCGUGUGUUGGCCGCUCCUCGCCCCCCUCCCUCCUUCAAGCUGCCGGUGGAGCUGUACGGCUGCUGCUACAACUGCGGCAGCGAAGGGCACAUCUCCAGGGAGUGCACCAACCCCACGCUCUGCGUCCGGUGCCGGGGACCUGGGCACACCUCUCGUGGUUGCACUCGCCCGCGCAGCCCAUCUCUGGUGGAACAGGAGCCACGCCUGCCGCCUGCUCUUCAGCCGUCAGCGGUGGAUGUCCCACCCCUCGCCCCGUCUCCGGUCUUGCCUAGGCGCUCGCAGUCGGAUCUACCGCCCCCGCCACCUGGCCCUCCGCCGCCCGGUGUGGUGCGCCUGUGGAGUCAGGUGGUGCGGGAGGCGCCCGCGGUGCGGUCGCCGUCCGUGGGGGGAUCUGCGGGGCCAGUCUUCUCUUCCCCGUUUGGUCUGUUGGAAGGCCAGUUGUCGCGGCAGGAGUGCCGCAGUGAGGAUCCGGUGGAGGCCUACUUUCUUGAGGCGGUGGAGGACACAAGAUUGCUAGAGGCGGAGCUGGCUCGUGCGGUUCUGGUCACCGUCAUCGGCACCAGACCAGCGGUGGAUGUUGGCUCGGCGGCGAGUGCGCUGCACUCGACGUUUGGUGUCAGCCCGGCGGAGAUGUCCAUUCGUCGUUUCUUCCUAGAGGAUUUCCUUGUGCUCUGCCAUGAUGGGGCACUGCGGGAGCGCAUGGUGCGGGCUGGGUGUGCGCAAGCUCCCUGGUUCGAGCUCUCUCUGUGGCCCUGGCUCCGACAGGCUCAGGCUACGACGGCGGCCUUGACUUCCCUCGUCCCUGUCUCGUUGUAGGGCUUGCCCGCCCAUGCCUGGACCCAGAGAACGACAAGUGUGAUCCUGCGGGGACUUGGUUAUGUCGUGGGCGUGGACGAGAGCACGGCGAACAGGACGGACAUGGCGGAUUUCCGGGUCUGGCUCCGCACAGACCGGCCCAGGCAGAUUCCAAGGCGGCGCAUCCUCUACAUCUAUGAGCCCAGGCACACUAUUUGGUCCAAGGGUGGGGGAGGACGGCGGUCGACUGGUGCUCGGUGCUCCACGGCCCUAUGGUACCCCAUUGACAUCGUCGUGCUCAUGGAUGGAAUAGAAGAUGGUGGGAUGCCCGAGGAUCGGCCGGCGCCACCACCAUCGUCGCCGCCUCCAUCGCCACCGUCUGGGAGGAAUGGCCAUGGUCAGGAAGGGAAGGACCGUCACUCUGGUGGAGGUUCGGCGAGUACGACAGAAUCGACGGUGGCGCCGCCACCGGCGGGCACGCGCACCCACAUUCAAGCCAGGCGCGGCCAGUGGGGUCUCAUGGUCAGCAACAGCUGGCUUGCUGAUGUCAGGGAGUCCUUUGUGGAUAGGGAAGACCAGCCAAUCGGAGGAGACGCAUGGAGGAAUGACUGCUGUCCUCGCUUGCGGACGGCGUCAGGUGCGGCCCCAGCUGUGGCUGUGAUGACCGUUGGUUCCCCGCCCUCGGUUCAGCUUACCAGAUGGCGACAAGGCGGGCAGCCGGGAUCGGUAGCUUUGCAGGUGCUGGGGCCCCGCGGAUCAGUGUGUGUUCCGGUUGGUGGACAGAGGUGCGAUGAUUCGGUUUGGAUUGGCUCGGUGCAAAUCCCGCUGCAGGACCUGGAUGAGGAUGAGACUAACGGCGAUGUGUUAGGUGAGGAAGGACAGGAGCUGUCGCUGUCGAGUUCUGGAAGCGGCAAAGAUGUAGAUGGACAACAACUGUCGCUGUCGAUGUCGGGCAGCAUGGAUGUUGGGGACAUGCAGGUGGAGCCAUGGGAUACUUUCCUGGUCAGCCUAUCAGAGGGAGAAAGCAGUCCAGCAUGGGACCCAAUUGCAAGCACGCCUCUCCAAGCAGAUAAGGUGGAGCAUGUGGAAGGGAUGGUGGGCCCGGUGCGUGAUCCCGUGCCAUGCAGGCCUUUGCAUGGGGAGCUGGAGACCCCACAGGGAGAUUCGGUGGCCCAUGUAGAGGUGGUGGAGGGCCUGGCGCGCGAUCCCGUGCCAUGCAGGCCUAUGCAUGGGGAGCUAGAGGCCCCACAGGGGGAUGGAGUGGGCCAAUCGGGGGAUCCUGCGCCAUGCACUCCUGCGCCCGUGCAUGCGGGUCCAACUACCCCUUUCCACGUCGAUGUGGGUGGUUUUUGCGCGUGUAUGUGCGUAGGGCUCUCACCGGUUCUAUCUAGGCCGGUUGCGCGUGUGGCUACCAACCCAGGCCGCCAGGCAAGGAAGAAACAGAGGAUGGAUACGACUCCAAGGCGCAGUGCAAGGAUUGCUAAGCAUGCAGCGUCAAAACAACAGCAGGUGCUGAUUCGAAAAUUAUGCCUGGCAAAUGAGGGCGAGAUCAUUUCAGAUGAUGCAUUGCGGAUGUACGUCGAGUUGUUUUCAAGACCACUCUCGGAAGCUCACAUCGUGGUGGUCUUGGCCCUGUUUGGCUGGGAGUCACCACCGGUGCCUUUGGCGGACGGCCUUGAAGUGGUCUAGCUGUUGCCGCGGCUGCGUGGGUCUUUGUAAUGAAUGCACAACCGUUGAAAGUGCUAGUGUGGAAUGUCCGUGGGCUAAACGCCCAGGCUAGGAGGAACACCCUUUACCAAGUGGUCACAACAGCAAACCCGACUAUUGUCUGCCUUCAGGAAACCAAGCUACAUGAUGUAUCGAUAAGAAUUGUUCGGCAAUGCCUCGGUAAUAAAUAUGAAAGUUUCUUUUACUUGCCGGCUCAGGGCGCUCGGGGUGGAAUCUUGGUGGCUUGGGAUGCAUCCGUCACCCAACUGUCCAAUCCACACUAUACUUCUCAUACUUUGAUCGCUCUCGUCAAGUGUCCGGAGGACGAGCAGGCAUGGUGGCUCACAUGCGUGUAUGGUCCACAGGAAGAGGCUGAAAAGCUAGAGUUCUUGCAAGAUUUGGUGGACAUCCGUGACUUGCACGCGGGCCCUUGGGCGGUGGCUGGAGACUUCAACCUGCUGGCUAGGCAGGAGGAUAAGAGCAAUGCUCUGAUUAACCGAAGAAUGCUGGGAAGGUUUAGAGCCAAGCUAAACUUGCUUGAGCUUAAGGAGCUUUACCUCAAUGGGAGGCGCUAUACAUGGUCAAACGAGAGGCAAAAUCUGACGUUGGAGAAAAUAGACCACGUGUUUGUCUCCAACGAGUGGGACGAAGCAUUCCCAUCAUGCUUCCUCUCUGCCCUUGGGACAACGGUUUCAGAUCAUUGUCCACUCAUGUUGGAUAUGAACAUGGACAUAAGUAUGCGGAAGAGAUUUAAGUUCGAGGCUUUUUGGAUCAAAGCGGAGGGGUUCAUGGACACGGUACAGAUGGCGUGGGACUCGACACCGGUGGCUACAAAUGACUACCUAACACUCCAUAACAAGCUGAGGGCAACGGCGAUCGGCCUUCAAAGGUGGAGCGCUUGAUGGAUUGGGAAUGUGAAACUACAAAUAUUGAUUGCAAUGGAGGUCAUCAAACAGUUGGAUACGGCCAUGGAACUUAGGGCGCUGUCAGAUGCAGAGAGGGAUUUGAGGAGUUGUUUGAAGAAAAAGCUACUUGGGUUAUGCUCUCUUGAGAGAACCAUUGCAAGACAGCGGUCGAGACUACUGCAGUUGCGCGAGGGCGAUGGGAGUACAAGGCUUUUCCAUCGGCAAGCAAGCCAUCGACACAGGAAGAACGUCCUCCAACAAGUCCCUAGUGACUCUUUUACCCAAGAAGGAUGGUGCUCUCGAGGUGAUAGAUUUCAGGCCGAUCAACCUUGUUCAUGGGGCUAUAAAAAUCUUUGAGAAAGUGCUUGCGUGCAGAUUGGUGAUGCAGUUGCCAAAGCUUGUGGGUAAUCAUCAGAGUGCGUUCAUCAAGGGCAGAUCGCUACAUGACAACUUCAUGUUGGUGCAAUGUACUGCUCGCAGGCUCAAUGCCCUACGGAACCCAGCAGUGCUGCUCAAGUUGGAUAUAUCGAAGGCUUUUGAUUCUGUCAAAUGGCCUUUUCUGAUUGAGGUGAUGCAGCAUCUUGGAUUUGGGCCUAGGUGGAGGUCUUGGAACUGUGGGAUUCUUGCUACAUCCACCACCAAAGUUAUGGUGAAUGGAGACCCCAGGGACACCAUUUUCAACUGCAAGGGGCUUAGGCAGGGUGACCUGAUAUCACCAAUGCUUUUCAUCCUCACCAUGGAGCCUCUAUAAAGGAUGUUUGAGCAAGCCACGAGGAGAGGCAUUUUGGAGCCUUUGGCGCGUUCGGGAGUAAGGCAACGUUUAUCCAUCUUUGCGGACGACGUGGUGGUGUUCAUUAAGCCAAAACCAUUGGAGCUGGAGAUUAGUAAGCGAAUCUUUGAGAUGUUUGGGGAAGCGUCGGGGCUGCAGAUAAACAUGGCGAAGUCAGAUGUUCUUCCUAUAAGAUGCAAUGAUCAGGAAAUCACAUUGGCAAGCAUAGAGCUGGGAUGCCCGAGAGGAUCAUUCCCGAUCAAGUACUUGGGUUUACCUUUGUCCCUAAGGAAGCAAUCACCGGCGCAGCUGCAAUACCUUGUGGAUCAGAUGGCAAAUUGUUUAUCGAGGUGGAAGGCGGCACUUAUGCCAAAAAGUGGGCACCUAACUCUGGUCCAGUCAGUCCUAUGCGCCAUGCCCAUACAUGCCAUGAUGGCCUUGGAUCUCCCGAUGAAGACUAUUGCUGCGAUGAAAAAAGUGUGCAGAGGUUUUCUUUGGUGCCGGAGGGCCAUUGCCAAUGGCAGAAAUUGCGAUGUCGCCUGGGACUCGGUGUGCACAUCGAAAUGGGCAGGAGGCCUGGGGCUGCCAAAUCUUAGAUGGCUUAACGUGGCCAUGCAGGCCCGGUGGCCGUGGCUGCAACGAGCGGAUGUGUGUAGACCAUGGAGCGGAUUUAACAUCCGAGUUCCAAGGGAAGCGAAAAGACUCUUCCAGACAGCAACAAGGAGUGAAGCAAAUGCUGGGCUUAACACACUCUUUUGGGAAGAUCAUUGGAUCGAUGGCCUGAGGGUUCAAGACAUUGCGCCAAAUAUCUAUGGCCGAAUCUCGCGGUGAGUCAGAUCGAUGAGACUGGUGGCGCAUGCCAUUGCAGAUGGGUCUUGGGCAUUGGAUGUUGGUCCCGAGAUAGGUGAUGAAGCUCUACAGGAAUUCCUCUCGUUAUGGGUCAGAGUGAGUGUUUGGGAGCCUAACGUGGAUACGCCGGAUACGAUAUCUUGGGCAUGGGAGACUAAUGGACAGUACUCGAUGAGGUCGGCAUACGCGGCAAUGUUUUGGGGCAGGACUGUGGAGCCCAUGGCGGAGCUGACUUGAAAGUCUAGGGCGCCUUCCACUUGCAAGUUCUUUACAUGGCUUGCGUUGAGGGACCGAUGUUGGACCUCGGAUAGACUUGCACGGAGAGGAUUACCGCAUCAGGACGCAUGCCCUCUGUGCAACCAGGAGGAAGAAACGAUAAACCAUGUGCUACGAAUGUGCAUGUUUGCCAGAUCGGUAUGGGUCGUUAUAUGUCAAGCUCUGGGCAAGUUGUACUGGACACCGACGGCGCAGGAUACCUGUGGCUCAUGGCUUAGGGAGAAGCAGGAGCCUCACGGCCUACGGCGGAAGGAUCUGCAUACGAUCUUCAUUCUAACGCUUUGGGAACUAUGGAAGCAUCGCAAUGCGAUUGUGUUCGACGGAGCGUCUCCGUCGAUGAGUGAACUUUUGGGUAGGGUCAGGUCAGGGGGCAUGAUUUGGCUGAGUGCCGGCAAAUUUAAAGGCAAUGUUGAUGAUUUUUUCCGUGGAUUGUUUAGGUGGGCUAGUAGUGAGGAGUGAGUUGUAACGAACUCUUGUAAACUAUGGUGGAGGCACUCUUUUGCCUUUCUUCUUUAAUAUAUAAUAUGCACACUCGUGCAUAUUCGAGAAAAAAAGAUUUUACAUAUUUUUCUAAUCAAAUUUCAUACUCCCUACAUUCCACAAUGUAGUGCUUCCUCUAUCCCCGUGCUUCAACUUUGACCGUAAAUUUAACUACCAAGACCGAUUGCGACGGGAGCAAAAUGUAUAUCAGUGAAUUCGUAUUCGAUAGAAGUUUUCAAUUAUAUAUUUUUUCUCCCGCCGCAGUUGGUCUCGUUGGUUAAAUUUAUGGUCAAAGUUGGACCUCGGAAAGCGCGGGCGCACUAUAUUUUGAAAUGGAGGGAGUAUAUAAUAUGUUAAAUUUUGGAGUUAGGGUUUAAAAGAUAUGAAUAUUUUUUCAAAGCAUUUGAUAUGUACCGCGGGUUGAUUAACCCAAAUAUCAGGGGUUUCUUACAAAAGCAAAAAUCUGACUUAAAAUUAGACCGUGUUGAUUACCAGAAACAUCAAGAGUUAUGCAAAAACAAAAAUCUAACUUAAAAUUGGACCGCAAGUUGAUUACAAAAACAUAAGGGGUGUCUAGAAAAUAGCAUGACGGUGCAAAAAUCACAUAAGAAGUUGUAGACCCAUCAUCUAUUAGAUAAGUCUGCAAAAUAUUUGACAAACGAAAAGAGAUUCAUACAUGUCUUUAAAUCCGGAGGUCCUUCACAUCAAGAAGUUGCAGAACAAUCAUCUAUUAGAUGAGUGUGCAAAAUAUUCGACAAAUAAAAGAGAUUCAUGGUCCUUAAAUACUAAGAUGCUUCGCAACAAUAUGCCCAUUUAUUUAUCAUCUCCUUUAUCAAAGGGGAGAUUUAAUUUCUUCAUUUAACAUCUCACAAAGCCCCUUUAUUACCGGUUACUUUAUGUCAGGUUUAUUUUUCUCAUUUCACAGCCUUGAAGCUUCUUUACACGCAGCUCGGCAUCAAAAAAUUCUUAUUUGCUCAAUUUGUGAUUUUUCUUCUCAAAAUCUGGUUUAUUAAGGAGAAAACGAAAAAUAACAUAUAUGGAAACUAGGCGCAGAGCGCGCCGCGCUGCUAGCUACUAGGCCAUUGGGCCAUGUAAGGGCCAGUUCUUUUGGCAGCUUAAAAAAUAAGCCGCUUCCUCCUCAUCUUUUCUCAUAAUCUGCCUCCCUCGUUCAUGGGGCUUGUGAACUAGUUACAGGAUAACUAAUAUAGAAGUCUCAAUAAAUUUUAGGAGCAGCUUAUUUUUUAAGUUGGGGAGAGACAACAUAUUUUUAAGCCGCCUAAAAGAACUAGCCCUAAAGCCACGUGUUCGCCUGCAUGAGCGAGGACAAUGCAAGAUCUCGCUUAUAGCAAGGAUAUCAUCUGUCUCGCCUGAAGGGUCCGUGUAUAUGGACCGGCCAGUUUGGUUAUCUUUUUUAUUUUAGUUUUCCUUUACUUCUUAAUAAUUUUCUUUGUUUUUUGUUUUUCAUCAUUUUUCUUUGUUUCUUUCAAAGUUUUUACUACUUUAUUCUCUUUUAUUUAUUUAUAAAUUUUGUUUAUUUUUCCUUUUUUGUUUUUCUUCCUUUGUUUUCCUAUAUUUCUCCGUGCUUUUGGGGAUUUUAUUGGUUUUCUAUGUUUUUUGUAAAUUUUUGGGUUGCAUCAGAAACAUUUUUAUAUACAUGUUUAUUAUUUCACAAAUACGUGAUUAACAUUGUUUAUAACUAAUAUUUUUGAUAUCUACUUUUUUCAUACACAUUGUACACUAGAAAAAAUUUCUAUAUACAUAUUUAAAAUUUUGUAAAUACAAGAUUAACAUUUGUUUUAACAUAUAGUUUUUGACAUCUAGUUUUUCUAUAUUUUUUUUAUUGUUGAUAUACAUCAGAAAAUUUUCAUAUACACAUGUUACAUGCUUUUUUAAACAUAUUUUUUUGUGUCUACAUUUUUCAUACAUAUUGUAAAUUUUUUAUAUAUAUUAGGAACAUUUUCAUAUACAUAUUUAACAGCGUCUAAUUAUAUGGUGACAUUAUCAAAAACUCAUAUUUCUGAUGUCUAGUUUUNNNNNNNNNNNNNNNNNNNNNNNNNNNNNNNNNNNNNNNNNNNNNNNNNNNNNNNNNNNNNNNNNNNNNNNNNNNNNNNNNNNNNNNNNNNNNNNNNNNNNNNNNNNNNNNNNNNNNNNNNNNNNNNNNNNNNNNNNNNNNNNNNNNNNNNNNNNNNNNNNNNNNNNNNNNNNNNNNNNNNNNNNNNNNNNNNNNNNNNNNNNNNNNNNNNNNNNNNNNNNNNNNNNNNNNNNNNNNNNNNNNNNNNNNNNNNNNNNNNNNNNNNNNNNNNNNNNNNNNNNNNNNNNNNNNNNNNNNNNNNNNNNNNNNNNNNNNNNNNNNNNNNNNNNNNNNNNNNNNNNNNNNNNNNNNNNNNNNNNNNNNNNNNNNNNNNNNNNNNNNNNNNNNNNNNNNNNNNNNNNNNNNNNNNNNNNNNNNNNNNNNNNNNNNNNNNNNNNNNNNNNNNNNNNNNNNNNNNNNNNNNNUUUUUUCGUACACAUUGUACAUUUUUUAUACAUCAGAAACAUUUUUGAUACACAUUUAAGAAUUUUGAAUGCAUGAUUAUCAUUUUUAAAAUACAAAGCUUAUAUCUUUUUUAUACAUUGGAUUUUUGCUUAUAUCUUUUUUAUAUAUUGGAUUUUUAAAUAUAUAUUAGCAUAUAUAUAUAUGUUAACAGUGCCUAAAUACAUGAUGACAUUAUGGAAAAGUUAUAUUAUUUUUAUGUCUAGUUUUUUACAUACAUAUUGUACAUUUUUUCUACAUCAGAAACAUUUUUCUAUACACAUUUCAUAAUUAUAAAAGCAUGAUUAACAUUUUUCUAUACACAUAAAGGUAUUUUAUAAUAAAUAUAAUCAGAAUUUUUUUUAUUGAAGCAAAGUUGAAAUAAAAUCAAAAAAAGAAUGCAAAAUGUGAAGAAAAAAAGAAAGAAAAAUAUAGCAAUCAAGGCGUUUGUCCGCGUUGGGACGGCUUAAUCGCGGGGCUGUGUGAAUCGAGAUAUCCUCCUUUCCCCCAUGAGUCGCGGUCACAACUAUCGCUUGGGCUUACUGGUCGAUUCGUUCAAGCUUCCACGCCAAGUCCUCAGGGCAAUUGAUAUGUAUCGCAAUGAUAUGUAUAGCUCAUUGCGAUACAUACCGAUGUGAUGAGAGCAACUAGUUAACGAGUGUUUCUUGGGAAGCCUCGCAACGAUUAGCGUCACUUGGCGCGCUCUUAGCUAUUCGCCACGUGUCACGCUCUGGACGCUCCCUCCAGAUUUUGUUUUUAUUUUAUUUUUUCACACGCGUUUUUGACUUUUUAAACGGUUUUUUUUCGAUUUUUUUGAUGUUUGGUAAAAAAAUGCGUGAAAAAUGCGUUUUAUUUUUUUCUUUUCGCGAGAGUCACGGUUUUACUUCUGCAAGAGGCACGGUUUUUGUUUCGCGAGAGUCACGGUCGUGCCUCUCGGAAACGGAAAAAAUGGGUUUUCUGUUUUUUCCUUUUCGCGAGAGUCACGGUCGUGCCUCUCAGAAACGAAAAAAAUGCGUUUUUUUGUUUUUUUCCUUUUGUGAGAGGUGAUGGGGUCACGUACCUAGGGUAGGGUCAUGGACCUGAUCUAAGUACCUUACCCAAGGACACCCUUAGAAGAGGUCGCCUUCCAGUCGACCAACGAGGGACUCACUCGACUGACUUGAAGGACUCGACCACGAAGACUCACUCGACCACCAGAAGGUCAAGAGGCACUCUACACGGCAACGACCUGUAAUUAAGUAGACUUUAUGGUAGUAAAGACACUUUAUGUGGGGCGUUAUCAGUAACGCCCCGGACUUAACUUACCUUAAACCCUCUCCUACGUGGGCUGACUGGGGUCCCGGCGCACUCUAUAUAAGCCGUCCCCCUCCAUAGGUAGAGGGGUUCGGCACCUUGUAACUCAUAUACUCAUAAUCCACUCGACCGCCUCCGGGCUCCGAGACGUAGGGCUAUUACUUCUUCCGAGAAGGGCCUGAACUCGUACAUCCCUUGUGUUUACAACCUCUCCAUAGCUAGGACCUUGCCUCUCCAUACCUACCCCCACUCUACUGUCAGGCUUAGAACCACGACAGUUGGCGCCCACCGUGGGGCAGGUGUUUUAGCGAUUUUGUGGAGAAGUUGCGAUUCUUCCGAGUACUUUCAUCACGGUGUCUGCUGGAGUUUUGGUCAAAGGUCGAGAGAUCUGUCUCGGCACUCUCACCUUCAUCGCCGACGACUCCGCCUGGCUCCAGGAGGCUCCACUCGAUGUUGAUGCGCUCCCCGUCCGCGGUGCGACGCAUUUUCGCGCAUGUGUCCGCGGCGUUCUCCUGCGGCAACCGUCGACCCCGUAUUGGACGACUCCUCCAUCGUCCACCCUCCCGGUCUCCCGCCAGCGCAAGCGCUCGGGCCGGUCGAGGCUUCAGCGAUGGAUGAGGCACGCGGUGGCUCGCCAAUCGGCCACCACCCAAGUUGCGGCAAUCGAGCCCGACGAAUCUCUCUACGGCUUGUUCGAUCUGUCGACUGGCUCCGUAGAGACUGCAUCCGAGUGCGGUAGCAGUGAUCCAGCGGCGGAAAUCUUGAUGGUCGACGGGCCCCGCAGCCCCGUGAUGGUGGAGCAGGUGACGGAGGCGACCCUGCACGAGGCCACGAAGAGUACCAGCCCGAGCCACUCGACUCUCUGCAAAGAGAGGAACUUCGCCGCAGGAACAUGGAUGCUUUGCGUACUCCCAUCGCAGGAGAAACCCCCGAGGCUCGUGCCUUGGAGGAGGCGCGUCUGGCCAAUUUGGCCGAACGCACUCGACUGGAGAAUCUUCAGCGAGCACUCGACGAGCGCGCGCGGCAACGAGUUCCCGACACCAGUCGACGUCAACUCUUCCCGCCGACUCAGGUAUAUCGAACCCCAAUCCAGAAUUUAGCAGCUGCGACCCGUAUAGCAGAGUCCAUCCAGCCUUCGCAGUCAGAAGCUGGCAGAGGUUUGCUGCAGAUCAGGGAUCUGCUCCGGGCAGCAGGAGAUCAGAAUUCAGUCGUGUCUCAGUCGCGCAACAGAAUUCACAGUCGAUCCGUCACUGCGAAUACGGUUCAGUCGGCUCACAGCCCCAGAUCGCCUCCGCGGCGUGAAGGGCGCGAGAAUCGGCGAGAUCAAUAUGGCGACCGACUCGACCGAGAUGAUAGGCGUCGAGUGCCCAAUUCCCCUCCGAGGGGUGGGUCUUACGCUCCUUGGCAGCAAGAUGACAGGCGUCAGUACAGUACAGGGCGAAGGGUUCCAGUCGACCCCAGAGAACCAGGCUUCGACGCGCGAUCCAUUAUCGUGCAAGGUUUGGUCGACCGGAACAGAGCCCAUCGAGGCGGACUCGACAGAGAUGCACCCACAAGCAGUCGAGUGCAUGUUUCUGGUCCUGAAUGUUUCAGCAGAGCUAUCAGAGCCGCAGUUAUCCCUCCCAACUUCAGGUUGGCAACAGGAGUCAGCAAGUUCACUGGUGAGUCUAAGCCUGAAACUUGGCUUGAGGACUACCGAGUGGCAGUUCAGAUUGGUGGUGGGAACGACGAGGUGGCCAUGAAGCAUUUACCCCUCAUGCUGGAAGGUUCUGCCAGGGCAUGGUUAACUCAAUUACCGCCUAGCAGCAUUUACACUUGGGAAGAUUUGUCCCGAGUGUUCAUCAGAAUGUUUGAAGGAACUUGCAAGCGACCAGCUGGACUGACAGAGUUGCAAGUCUGCGUGCAGAAGACCAAUGAGACUCUCAGAGAGUAUAUUCAGAGAUGGAUCACUUUGCACCACACUGUGGAGAAUGUGUCUGAUCAUCAGGCAGUCUACGCCUUCAAAGAUGGCGUCAAGAACAGAGAUGCAACUGGUCGAGUGGCCAAAUGGGCGAUUGAACUUCUUCCCCUUGAUAUCAAGUUUGAGGCAAAGAAAGCCAUUAAGUCCGAGGCAAUAGAGAUUUCCUCGCCGAGUGGAUUGAACAACAGCAGCCGACUGAAGUUCACUCGGAGCAUUGGACCAUGUUCUUUGAUGGCUCUAAGAUGUUGAAUGGUUCCGGUGCUGGGGUUGUCCUGGUUUUCCCCAGAGAAGAUAAGCUCAGAUAUGUGCUCCAGAUUCACUUUGAUUCCUCCAACAAUGAGGCAGAAUAUGAGGCCCUCUUAUAUGGGUUGCGCAUGGCCAUUUCACUCGGCGUCCGUCGCCUGAUGGUCUAUGGCGACUCGGAUUUAGUGGUCAACCAGGUGAUGAAAGAGUGGGACGUGAGAAGCCCAGCCAUGACUGGAUACUGCAGUGCAGUGAGGAAGCUGGAAAAGAAGUUCGAGGGGUUGGAGCUCCAUCAUAUACCCCGACUGAAAAAUCAAGCAGCUGAUGAUCUAGCAAAGAUAGGUUCCAAGAGAGAAGCCAUUCCGAGUGGUGUGUUCUUGGAGCAUAUACACACUCCGUCAGUCAAAGAAGAUCCUUUCACCGAAGAAACUCCACAGCCCAAGAGUGCCACAGAUCCGACUGAGGUUGAAGUCCCAGCGGUGGUCGACUUGAUCAUGGAGGUCUUGGUGGUCAUUCCCGACUGGACAGUUCCAUACGUCGCGUAUAUCCUGAGAAAAGAGCUUCCGGAGGAUGAGGAAGAGGCUCGACAGAUCGUCCGUCGAUCUAAGGCCUUUACCGUAAUCAAAGGACAAUUGUACAGAGAAAGCGCGACUGGAGUUGGUCAGAAGUGCAUAACACCAGAAGAAGGUCGACUCAUCCUCAAUGAUAUCCACUCGGGAACCUGUGGUCAUCAUGCGUCCUCUCGGACCAUCGUGGCCAAAGCAUACCGAGCCGGAUUUUACUGGCCAAAGGCGAAUGAGAUGGCAAAAGAUAUAGUGGAUAAGUGCGUGGGAUGUCAGUUCUACUCGAAUAUGUCGCACAAGCCUGCGUCGGCUCUGAAGACCAUCCCACUCGUCUGGCCUUUCGCAGUAUGGGGACUGGACAUGGUCGGUCCUUUGAGAAUAGGACGAAGUGGCUUCACGCAUGUACUGGUGGCAGUCGACAAGUUCACCAAGUGGAUCGAGGCUAAACCAAUCAAGAACCUUGACACCGGUACUGCUGUUAGCUUCAUCAGGGAACUAAUAUUCAGAUAUGGAGUCCCGCACAGCAUCAUUACGGAUAAUGGGUCGAACUUUGACUCAGAGGAAUUCAGAGAUUUCUGCAACUCCCAAGGCACACGGGUCGACUACGCUUCAGUCGCCCAUCCGCAGUCGAAUGGACAAGCAGAGCGAGCUAAUGGACUGAUUCUUAAGGGAUUGAAGCCCCGACUGAUGCGUGAUCUCAAACACGCGGCUGGAGCUUGGGUCGACGAACUUCCCUCAGUGCUUUGGGGGCUGCGGACCACACCUAAUCGGUCGACCGGAAGAACUCCAUUCUUCUUGGUCUAUGGAGCUGAAGCAGUCUUGCCGAGUGAUCUUCUCCACAAUGCUCCUCGAGUUAAAAUCUACAACGAAGCAGAGGCUGAACAAGCGCGGCAGGACGCAGUCGACCUUUUAGAGGAAGAAAGGGAGAUGGCUCUGAUCCGGUCGACCAUCUACCAACAAGAUUUGCGUCGUUUCCAUGCCAGAAAUGUGAGAGGUCGAGCCUUCCAGGAAGGAGAUUUAGUUCUCCGAGUGGAUCAGCACAAACCACACAAGCUUGCUCCUUCUUGGGAAGGUCCCUUCAUCGUCACCAAGGUUCUCCACAACGGGGCGUACCGUCUUUACAACGUCGAGCAUAAUAUCGACGAGCCCCGAGCUUGGAACGCGGAACUACUCCGCCCAUUUUAUACUUAAGUUUUAUCACUCGGAUGAGUUGCAAUAAAGUACUUCUGUAGUUCAUGGACCUCAAAAUAAUAGUGUCAUAGUUCCUCCAUAAUUUCUGUCACUUUUUAUUUUUGUCCAAUAAAAUUCCCCCUCAGUGGGUGACUUAGCCGCGAAUCCGUUUCGCCUAAGUUUGUAAAAAUCCUACCGAGUGAUGAGCCAGACUCCCACUCGGAGGCUUAGCCGCGAAUCCGUUUCGCCUAAGUUUGUAAAAAUCCUACCAAGUGGUGAGCCAAACUCCCACUCGGAGGCUUAGCUGCGAAUCCGUUUCGCCUAAGUUAUCAAAAUCCUACCGAGCGGUAAGCCAGACUUCCACUCGGAGGCUUAGCUGUAGUCCAAGGACUCGCCUAAGUUAUAAAAAUCCUACCGAGUGAAGAGCAAACCUCUCACUCGGGGGCUUAGCUGCAGUCCAAGGACUCGCCUAAGUUAUAAAAAUCCUACCGAGUGAAGAGCAAACCUCUCACUCGGGGGCUUAGCUGCAGUCCAAGCACUCGCCUAAGUUACAAAAAUCCUACCGAGUGAAGAGCAACCCUCUCACUCGGGGGCUUAGCUGCAGUCCAAGCACUCGCCUAAGUUACAAAAAUCCUACCGAGUGAAGAGCAACCCUCUCACUCGGAGGCUUAGCNNNNNNNNNNNNNNNNNNNNNNNNNNNNNNNNNNNNNNNNNNNNNNNNNNNNNNNNNNNNNNNNNNNNNNNNNNNNNNNNNNNNNNNNNNNNNNNNNNNNNNNNNNNNNNNNNNNNNNNNNNNNNNNNNNNNNNNNNNNNNNNNNNNNNNNNNNNNNNNNNNNNNNNNNNNNNNNNNNNNNNNNNNNNNNNNNNNNNNNNNNNNNNNNNNNNNNNNNNNNNNNNNNNNNNNNNNNNNNNNNNNNNNNNNNNNNNNNNNNNNNNNNNNNNNNNNNNNNNNNNNNNNNNNNNNNNNNNNNNNNNNNNNNNNNNNNNNNNNNNNNNNNNNNNNNNNNNNNNNNNNNNNNNNNNNNNGAGUGAAGAGCAAACCUCUCACUCGGGGGCUUAGCUGCAGUCCAAGCACUCGCCUAAGUUACAAAAAUCCUACCGAGUGAAGAGCAACCCUCUCACUCGGGGGCUUAGCUGCAGUCCAAGCACUCGCCUAAGUUAUAAAAAUCCUACUGAGUGAAGAGCAAACCUCUCACUCGGGGGCUUAGCUGCAGUCCAAGCACUCGCCUAAGUUACAAAAAUCCUACCGAGUGAAGAGAAACCCUCUCACUCGGAGGCUUAGCUGCAGCCCAGUGCUAGCCUAAGUUAUCAAAAUCCUACCGAGUGGUAAGCCAGACUUUCACUCGGGGGCUUAGCUGCAGCCCUGUGCUCGCCUAAGUGGACUAAAGAAUAAGUCGAUUGCAGUAAAGGCGCCUUGCUUUGAACCUGCAAAAGACAUUUCGAGCCAAAAGCAAUCGUAUUCAAGCACCAAAUUCAAGUUUGAAUCGAUAUCUAAAAGAACCGAAAGUGCUCAGGCGUUAAGCCUGUUAAGGUUUAUCGGUUACAAUUUCACUCGGCAUACCGAGGCAAAUUUAAAGUGUCGAGCCAGAAGAAGUUUUUUACCCCUCCUGUGGGGGGCUGGAAGGUGCAACGAAUUCAUCAAGGUCAAUUCCGUCGGCGAUCCGAGUGGCAGCCGCAAGGAAAGUUUCCAUAAAGGACCUGAAGUCGUGUUUCUUGGUGUUGGCCACCCGAAGGGCCGCCAGCUUCUCUUCUCGCGCAUCUUUACAGUGGACUCGGGCCAGACACAGAGCAACAUCUGCACCACACCGAGCCGAGGACUUCUUCCAUUCUUGCACUCGACCAGGGAUCGUGUUCAAGCGGGCCAUCAGCGACUCAAGGUCAUUCUGAAGUGUCUCCUCAGGCCAGAGCGUCGAGUCGAUGCGAGAUGUGGCGGCCUUCAGCCUUGCGAGAUAGUCCACGACAGCUGCAACACGAGACUCCAGUCGGAAAACAUCCAUGGCAACUUCGUCGUUCACCGGAGAAUUGACGGGGUCGAGGUUUGGCUCCAGCCGGCUAGUUUCUUCUUCAAAGUUUUGACAAAAUUCUGCAAGGAUCAUCACUAAGUCAAGGGGAUGGUCGAAUGGAAAAACCACAAUUGGAAAUGUUUGCCGAGCAUAGAGGUUUACCUUCAAGCAUAAGAAACAGCUUCUUGGCAAGACCACUCAGGAAGGCCUCCAGAUCAUUUUUCUUCCCAGUCAACUUACUAACUUGGUCGGUCAGGGCAGCUUUAUUAGUUUUUAGUCGACUGACCUCCUUGUUGGCGAUCCCAAGAGCAGCUUUCAGAUUGGUAUUGUCUUGUUCAAGCUUGGUGACUGAAGCUAACUUCUCGUCAGCAAGCUUGAUCUUCUCAGCUAGUUUGAGGUCUUUCUUCUGUUGGGCCUCCCUUACCUUACCUGCAAGUUACAGCAAGAUCAGAUUUUAAAACAAGCAAGGGGAAAAGCAGUCGUCAGGGUCUCACCAAACAUACCUUCGGUCUCCUCCUUUGCCUUCGUCAGCUUCUCCUGAACCAGCUUCAAGCUCAGCUCAAGUUGAGUGUGCUUGUUUUCCAGCUCAGAGUAGCGAGCCACAAGAUCACAGGAGUUCUGCGAAGAACCAAUCGACUAAAUGUCAAAUAUAAUUCACUUCCGAGUGAAAAAGGAAAAAUCACACGUUUCUAAGACUACAGCCGAAUACAAGCAUUCGACCGUAGUCUCGGGGACUACACCCAGUGGGUGCACUCAGCGUGCCCCCACUAAUCCUGUUGAAGACAAAGUCGACCAGUCGACCUCAAAAAAAAAAAA
Molecule: long non-coding RNA, 39366 nt
Filed under: Triticum aestivum (bread wheat)
Lineage: Eukaryota; Viridiplantae; Streptophyta; Magnoliopsida; Poales; Poaceae
Description: long non-coding RNA (TAES_LNC026230)
Source: RNAcentral